Molecule: long non-coding RNA, 1156 nt
Organism: Meriones unguiculatus (Mongolian gerbil)
Lineage: Eukaryota; Metazoa; Chordata; Mammalia; Rodentia; Muridae
Exons: 3
Source: RefSeq, a predicted model, not a curated record
GGCUGGAAGACUCCUUAGCAACAAUCCCUGAGAAGAGAAGGCAGCGGAGAGCCAUGCUCCUCACGUUCUGAGGGAAAAUCAGUUCAUGCAGGAGUCUUUCAGGACAAAUUGCCAGAAAAGAUGUUACUCAGAAGACCAAAAGACAAUGAAUCACUUAAAAAUAAACUACCGAAAUAGAAAUGAGCAUCAACAAUCUGUGGCCAUGAUGUUGGCAAGUGAGAAAAUCAGUCAACAUCUUCAAGCUACACAUUGAAUAAACAUCCAUGCAAUGAGAGGAAGAAACGAGAGGAUGCAAGAGUUUAAUGAUGUAAAAGCUCUCACGGUGAAAAUAUGUUUCACUUUAUAAAAGGUCAAUGAUUAUUUUCAAGAUGCUAUACCUUAGGUAUAAUUGUUUUGUUAACCCUCCUUUCUGCUUCAACUCUCUCCAUAAAAGUUGGCAUGUAAUCGUCUUUACUGCAAAGCCAGGGCCAGUCUACUGGUCUACACAGUGAGUUCCAGGCCAGCUAGGGCUGCACAGUAACAUCUUGUCUCAAAAACAAAACAAUAAAAGAGAUUUUAAAAGACCCACCCCAAACAAAUAAUAAGACUAAAGACAGCUGGCAAUGAAGCUCAGAUGGUAGUCUGCUUUUCUGCCAUGUAGAAGCCUUGGUUUUGAUCCUUAGCACUUCAGAGCCUAGCUUACUGGUGCAUGCCCAUAAUUCCAGAACUUCAGCAAGGAAGGCAGAGGGGAUCAGAAAUUCAAGGCCACCUUUGUUACAUGUUCAAUCUAAUGUUAGCCCAUGCUACAUAAGGCUGCUCCAACUGCAGAAGAGAUUGCCUUGGCUAUUUUGGGUUGCUAAGUGGGUAAAGAAAUUGCCUCCCUAUCUUAAGACCUGAGUUUGAUGGUGAAAGGUCAUAUAGAUAUUUUUCUGUAUUUCUUAUGGAGCUGUAGUGUUCUAUGUGUUUCAUGUAGUUCUGCAAUCAGUAUGUGUCUGACUUGUAUGACUAGAGGGAGGCAGAGAUCAGAACUUUUAUUAUGAUUAUUAUUAUUACUGUUAUUAUUACUCAACUAGUUUUAGGACUAUCCAAGUAACUCACCAUUUGUUGAAAAGUUUCUCUUUUCUGGAAAAUAUUUUCUUUCUUUUUUAACUUUUUAAAAAUUGUAUGACAGUAUCAC